AAUCAACGCUGGCGGCGUGCCUAACACAUGCAAGUCGAACGCGAAAGCCCCUUCGGGGGUAAGUAGAGUGGCGUCCGGGUGAGUAACACGUAGGUAAUCUGCCUUCGGGUGGGGAAUAACCAGUCGAAAGAUUGGCUAAUACCGCAUAAUGCAGCGGCACCUAAUGGUGAUUAGUUGUUAAAGCGGGGGAUCGUAAGACCUCGCGCCUGAAGAGGAGCCUGCGGCAGAUUGGCUAGNGGUGAGGUAAUGGCUCACCAAGGCUUCGAUCUNUAGCUGGUCUGAGAGGACGGCCAGCCACACUGGCACUGACACACGGGCCA
RNAcentral lists this ribosomal RNA (320 nucleotides) under uncultured bacterium. RNAcentral's name for it is "bacterial SSU rRNA". It matches the Rfam family "Bacterial small subunit ribosomal RNA", at positions 32 to 333 of the family's 1533-position model. The record is from RNAcentral.